Long non-coding RNA from Acanthopagrus latus (yellowfin seabream), 865 nucleotides. RefSeq lists it as uncharacterized. The transcript is spliced from 2 exons. NCBI's taxonomy places the organism in Eukaryota, Metazoa, Chordata, Actinopteri, Spariformes, Sparidae. The record is from RefSeq and is a predicted model, not a curated record.
CUAGGCAACAGGAACACUCCAACAUUCCAAGUCCUUUAGAAUGCUGCGGCAGAUGAUUGGCUGUUCAGAACUGAUUAGUUUUUCAUUUUGAAAAAAAAACUCAAUCACAAUGUUUGGUAACCAUAACUAGCAGGUGGUAAACAUCUGUGUUACCUUUUAGGUCAUAAUGUAGAUAAAAAAAACACUAUGUGUUCUUGUGUAGCACAGGGGCGGCCAACCAUUCAGAGACCAAGAGCCAGCUUUUUAACUGUUACUGCAAAGAGCCACAUCACACACACACACACACACACACACACACACACAGUCCUCUGCUCAGCCAGAUUUACUGUAAAUGUGACACACCAACAUGAUAAUGACAGAAAUUGACUCCUACAGUACUAAAACCAGAAGCCAGUCAUUUUCAAGAAUGAACACUGUGUGCACUGUCUCACACACACAAACUCUCAGUUCAACCAAGUCCACAAAUAAAAUUAUAACAAUUUACAAUGGCUUUUUUUUCUUACCAUGCAUGCUUGCUGAGAGUAUCCUGAGCGCAGUCUGAUUGACAUUGGGGAUAUUUUUCCAUUGGCACACUUUUCCAGAACUCAAUGGUCCCUUCCCUUAAAGCAGGUUUCAGUUGGUCCUCCUAACAAAGAUCAAUCAUCUCCAACUCAGCUGCAUCCUCAUCUGUGAUUAUCAGGCCUACAGGAGGCUUUGCAUAUAUACGGCCGGCUCAGCUGUCCGGAGCGCAGAAUAAUAAUUAGUAGCAGAGUCCAAGUGAAGGUUUGCCUGCAUGAGAGUGGCCAAGAUGGUCAUUUUGACCGUUUUCAAAUGUAUAUGUGCAAUAACUUUGACUGUAAUCAAGUAAGUUAUUUUUAAUUGUUCA